AUACGGAGGAUGCGAGCGUUAUCCGGAUUUAUUGGGUUUAAAGGGUGCGUAGGCUGUUGUGUAAGUCAGGGGUGAAAUGCCGUCGCUUAACGACGGAGCUGCCUUUGAUACUGCAUGGCUGGAGUGCGGAUGCCGUUGGAGGAAUGAGUGGUGUAGCGGUGAAAUGCUUAGAUAUCACGAAGAACUCCGAUUGCGAAGGCAGCCUGCUGGACUGUAACUGACGCUGAUGCUCGAAAGUGUGGGUAUCAAACAGGAUUAGAUACCCUGGUAGUCCACACAGUAAACGAUGAAUACUCGCUGUUUGCGAUAUACAGUAAGCGGCCAAGCGAAAGCGUUAAGUAUUCCACCUGGGGAGUACGCCGGCAACGGUGAAACUUAAAGGAAUUGACGGGG
This 393-nucleotide ribosomal RNA is filed under the name uncultured bacterium. Its description in RNAcentral is "partial 16S ribosomal RNA". It matches the Rfam family "Bacterial small subunit ribosomal RNA", at positions 523 to 918 of the family's 1533-position model. The record is from RNAcentral.